UACGUAGGGUGCGAGCGUUAAUCGGAAUUACUGGGCGUAAAGCGUGCGCAGGCGGUUUUGUAAGCCAGAUGUGAAAUCCCCGGGCUUAACCUGGGAAUGGCAUUUGGGACUGCAAGGCUUGAGUGCGGCAGAGGAGACUGGAAUUCCUGGUGUAGCAGUGAAAUGCGUAGAUAUCAGGAGGAACACCGAUGGCGAAGGCGGGUCUCUGGGCCGAUACUGACGCUGAGGAGCGAAAGCGUGGGGAGCGAACAGG
This 253-nucleotide ribosomal RNA is filed under the name uncultured bacterium. RNAcentral's name for it is "partial 16S ribosomal RNA". It matches the Rfam family "Bacterial small subunit ribosomal RNA", at positions 524 to 776 of the family's 1533-position model. The record is from RNAcentral.